CCAGACUCCUACGGGAGGCAGCAGUGGGGAAUAUUGCACAAUGGGGGAAACCCUGAUGCAGCGACGCCGCGUGAGUGAGGAAGUAUUUCGGUAUGUAAAGCUCUAUCAGCAGGGAAGAAAAUGACGGUACCUGACUAAGAAGCCCCGGCUAACUACGUGCCAGCAGCCGCGGUAAUACGUAGGGGGCAAGCGUUAUCCGGAUUUACUGGGUGUAAAGGGAGCGUAGACGGAAUAGCAAGUCUGAUGUGAAAACCCGGGGCUCAACUCCGGGAGUGCAUUGGAAACUGUUGAUCUAGAGUGUCGGAGAGGCAAGCGGAAUUCCUAGUGUAGCGGUGAAAUGCGUAGAUAUUAGGAGGAACACCAGUGGCGAAGGCGGCUUACUGGACGAUGACUGACGUUGAGGCUCGAAAGCGUGGGGAGCAGACAGGAUUAGAUACCCGCGUA
Molecule: ribosomal RNA, 444 nt
Filed under: uncultured bacterium
Lineage: Bacteria
Description: bacterial SSU rRNA
Rfam family: Bacterial small subunit ribosomal RNA
Source: RNAcentral